CCAGUAGUUAUCACCCAAAAAGUGCAUUGUUUGGAUUAACACCACAAGAGACCGACAAUGUUAUUGUAUUUGUAUUGGUAGCUGACUCAGAAUCAUCUCUCAAGAGAUAAAGAACGUGAGAUGUUGUUCAUAUUUCGGCCAUAUCAUAUCAUCUAAUACAAGGUGGCGUGUGCCUGUGCUGUCCCCUCACUUAUCACUAACAUUUGCAAUUCUUCACCUCAAAGUGGAGGAGACAAAUCCUAUCCUAAGCACAUCCAAAAUUAACCCUUUGGUCUUUAUACUUCCAAAUAUGUUAAGUUUGGACAGUUACGUAUUAAAGUUCAAAUACUAAUCCACCUCCGUGCUCUUCUUCUGCAUUCCAAACUUCAAAUAACAAAUUUGCCCCAACCAUCUUCUGCAUUCCAAACUUCAAAUAACAAAUUUGCCCCAACCACAUGAUUGAAGAGAACGAUAAGAUAUUUACUAUGUGUUAAUUAAUAUUUAAUGAUGGUUACAAAUAUAACAAUCAUAUUUAAAAUUUAAAGUACUUACAAAAUAGCAAAUUUAGAUUCUACCUUCAAAGUUUAUCAAUGAUAGAGAUAUCGCUAGUAUGGUCAAUAAGCCAAAUUGUCGAUUGAAAUUUAUCAACGAUAGAGUCUAUUAUCAAUAAAUUUUAAUAUAUUUGCAAUUCUUUAAAAGUGUUUUUAUGCAUUUAUUACCUUAAUAUUUAGUUUAGUUUUUAGAUUAGUUAGUGUUUAAUUAGAACUAUAGAAUGAAUUGGUUGGUUGUGUUAUUUAUUGUAAGGCUAUAAACAACCAAUUUAGGGAAAACUUUGAAUAUCCAUCUGAAUUAGAACUGGUGUUCCUGGAGAAUGCUCUCUUAAUUUAAAGGAUGAAUUUCUCUUAUUUGACCAAAGGAUCUAAUCUAAUACCUAGACACGAAGCAUCACCGCAAAGAGAAUAAAACUUGAAUCCAAAUCAGUCUAAGAGUUGAAGAUGAAUCUUCAAAAUAAAAGGUUCAAAACUAACAUAAUUUACCGUAGCUAAACAAGAGCAAGAGAUGGAGAUCCCAAUUCCAAGUAAUUGAUAGAAGAUUGGUCAGUACAAGCCAAAACAAUGACUUAAUUUGAUUGGGGUCUCUGUUGAAUGUGGAUUGGUCUUUAGUGCUGGCGCUUUAAAAAUGAAUGAAAGGUAAAGUAUCUCUAUUUUGUUGGUUCUCAAUCUUCUAGAGGCUGAUGCUGUAAAGAAACAGAGUAAUCCAUAAUAGAUAGAGGUGAUUAAAAUGGUAGCUGGACAAUCUAUCUUUGUCAAUUAAAAGAGAGUUUACUGCUUUACGUCUUUUCAAAUUAUCUUUAAACCAAUAAAAGAUAAGCAGAUUUCCACUAUAUCAUUAAAUAGAUCAUGAUAGAUCCUAACCAAUUGAGAGGAGGUUUAACAUGACUUUUGAAAUAGGGAAUUGCCCUGGGCAACUUGAAGCACCUCUCAAAAUCCUUGAAGAUUUAUUAGAUAAUUUGUUGGGUACUUGAGCACUCUAAAGAACUAUCUCCCAAAAGCCAACUAUAGAGGUGAGAGAGUCAAGCCACAUAAGUAGCACAUUGACCAUCCCAUUCUAACUAAUGAGGGACAAAGUUAGAUCAGAGUACCUUGGUUCCUAAUAAUGAGGUUUCUUACAAUACCUUGGUUCCUAACAAUGGUUCCUAAUUAAUGUGGGAGGAAAAUGAUGGUAAAUUAUGGGCCAUUGGAACUAAAAAUGGCAGUAUUGUACUGCUAGUCUUAUGCACUACUAUUGGUAACUUACACAAACAGAGCUAUCUGAGACACAGUCACUAGUUAAGAAAAAAUGAAGGACUUGAUUACUAAUGACAAAAACAGAGAAAUUUGGCCUAACAUUACGCAAAUAUCUGUAUAACCAACUCAAACUCCACAAAUUCAUCUCACUUAUUCUACAUAUUUAGCAUGAAAAUUCCUUAUAACUUAUUUCGACUUCUACAAACAAACCUGUCAAUUGUUUCCAACAGUCUUUCUCAUUCUCCUUUCAUUCGUCAUCAAAACAAACAGUAUGAUUUACGAAAAGUUACUAAUAUUUGUCAAAAUCUCCAGGAGAAUACUGAAUCUUAAUAAAAGAGUGUCAAUAUCUCAUCUGAGAUUUAACCCUUUUGACCAAUCGGGGCACUACGAAUAAUCUCGGGGGAGAUUGUUGGUCUUGGACUGAGAUUAUGUAAACGACCUGGCAAACAACUGUUUUUUCCAACAGCAUGCAUGUUAGAAACCAAACAUAUUUAAUAAAGAGAAGACUUCCCUUGUUUUUGAGAUUUUGUUGAAAAAGAGAAAAACUCCAAAAUGUGAGAGAGGGAACCUUUUAAGACCCAAACUUGUAGAGUCAACCUGGGGAUUUCUAAAACAAUGAUUUGAUAAUAAUAUGAUAAUAUAAUGAAAGAGGGCAUAAUGGUAAAAUUAACCCUUUAUUAACAAAUCUAGACACGUCACACAUGGCUCACGUUCUUAACUCGAUUUUGGUCGACAUGCCCCAUGAAAAACUCUUUUAAC
Molecule: long non-coding RNA, 2525 nt
Filed under: Cucumis sativus (cucumber)
Lineage: Eukaryota; Viridiplantae; Streptophyta; Magnoliopsida; Cucurbitales; Cucurbitaceae
Description: long non-coding RNA (CSAT_LNC001588)
Source: RNAcentral